UUAGUUUUUUAACUCAUUAUCAAUUUAUCAUAACCUAAAAAGAGUGUAUUACCAUUCUGUAAUUUAUUUUUAAUUUGUUUAUUGUUUAUACCUUAUUUAUUUAAUAAAAAAAAUAAUAAAUAAAAUAGAUUAUUUUACUUUCACCUAUAAAUACCCGUAUUCCCACCUAUACCCUACCCAUCUUCCCCUUCUUUUUCUCCCUAAAAUCUGGUUAUUUGUUCUUCUUGAUACAAAUUAAGCCCACUUUUCAACAACAUCUUCUAUUAUUUGAUGUCGUUCCUUUUUGGUUUUGUCAAACCAUAAAGACUUCAAACCCUAGAACGUAAUCAGUGUUCCGUCUCCCUUCAACUACUCAUAAAAUAUGAACAAUCGAAAGGAAGAAACUUGAAAUUGAAGCGCAUGAUUCGACCUACAACUCAAAAUCAAGCUUCGAGAGAUCAGAUGCAUAAAAGUGAUUUGGAAGGAUAUUUUGGUAGAUUGAAGACAAGCCUGUGUAACUUAUUAAGGGUAAAAUGGUGUAAUUUGUAAAGGGUAAAAUGGGAACUCUCAUUCCUUGGAGAGAUGGAAUGAAAAACACGCUAGUUAAUGGAAUGACAUUCAUGACUCUGGAUCCUCCAUAAAUUCUUUCUCUCCCUCUUUCUUUUCGUGGCCCUGGUUCCCUGUUACAAGAUUUCAUCAAGUUCGAUUUCCAUGUUCCAUUUUGAUUCUCUUUUGAUUUUGCAAUUUGUGUCUGGAUGCAAAUGCUCAUUUUAUGUUUAAUUUUGAGGUUUGAUUACAAGAAUACGAGGUUUGGUUUUCAGUUUUGAUUUGGUUUUAGUUUUGAGUUUUGAAUUCACAAUUUAUUCUCUAUGUUGAUUUUGGUUUUAGUUU
Lactuca sativa (garden lettuce) is the source of this 870-nucleotide long non-coding RNA. RefSeq lists it as uncharacterized. NCBI's taxonomy places the organism in Eukaryota, Viridiplantae, Streptophyta, Magnoliopsida, Asterales, Asteraceae. The record is from RefSeq and is a predicted model, not a curated record.